UCUUUCCUUCUUCCUCAUCCUAUUUCUUCACCAGUGAGACUUAAAUGUAAGCACAGAUGUAGGGAUGGAGGAUGGAGGCUCCAGCCCAGCAGCAGAGUGGUGCUGACCAGCAAGGCAUGGAAGUCCUCCUAUGUCACUGAGGCUCAUCUUCCAGCAGAGAUGCAGGAAAAUCCCAGUGAAGUCUUCAAAAUCAAGAGGCUAGUGAACUCAGCAGGCUGUGCCUGGAUAUCUCUGACUCUAGAAUGAAGCCUGCUCAGAGGCAGAGGGGAAAUCAGUCAGUUGAUUAGAGAAAAGCCUUUAGCUCUGCCACUUAAAAACAAACUUACAAAUUACCUGAUGGGCUUUGGGACAACAUGAGGAAGCCUCAGAAGACUAGGGUCAACUUCCUAGCAAGUUUUGUUCUAAGAAGAGGGGGAGGAGGAAGCCCUGUAUUUCAGCAAAUAGCUGGGAGAGGUGGAACGAGCCAAGUGAAAAGUCAGAUGAAGUUGGCAGCCCCAGGUAAUCUUCACAAAAAUUACUGGGAGAAAACCAGGGGGAGGGAUGAAGCUGUUGAUGGGAGGUUCUGUUCCUGGUGGGGAUGGAGGGUUGCUGUUCUGCUGCAGAACUUGGAAAGCCAAGUCAAGCCAUGGGGCUUGAUUUAGUUUGGCUUGGUCUUUCUCAGACAGAGCAUUUGACAGGCACCUGCAGGGCUCUCUCUGGACCCCAGAGAGCUCAGACUACAAAUCAUCAUUAGCAAUAGGUUCACAGCUUGGGUUAAGAAAUGAUAAGGGAAUACAUCCAUCUGCAGCAGAUGAAGAAACCAGGAGGCACUAUUUUCUGCACAGAAGCCAGACAGCAGCCACAUGACAGAUUUAAAAUGUCUUGGGCCAUUUUGAAGAAUUACAGGGAAAAGAUAAAUGGUUAUAAGGAAAGCAGAGCCCUUAAUUUUGUUUGGAAGUUGAUUAUAAUUGCGGAUUCCAUUGCCAUCUGGGGUGUGGGAACCCUUGAGAAUAGAAAAGGUGAAUUCGGAAGUUUUAACACACAGCCUAUACAUGGUGAAGAGACAUGAAAUGCCAUGAAACCUGGAGGUGCCACCAAUGCAAGUUACACACUUGUCAGCCAACAGUGGGGCUUUGGAUGCCAUUUUUUCAAGGUGAAAGGCAGUCUGUAUAAAGGGUAGAAGGUGUCCCUAGAACAUAGAAACUCUACGUCACAACCCAUUGACUGGAGACAGCUUUUAAUUGAGCAUGGAUUUUUGAGGUUAGACUCUGAUUAAAUUAUAGACUUUUAAUGACAACUUGUAGGAGCUGAACCAGGACGCGUGCUGCUCUUUUCUCUUUUCAAUUCCUUGUCCAUCAUCCUCCUCUACACACCACAAGCCAUAUGCCAUAGUCUGUAACUGGUGACAACAGUACAGAUUUAAACCGCAGGAGAGGCAUCAGGCUCUGAAAUCUCUGCAUUUCCAAAAUAGCUGUUUGGACUGUAAGCUGACCAAAUAGGAUUUAGGAUUUGGGCUCCUGUUUCCCAGCCAGAAAUGCAGGCCUGAAAAAAGCUGCUUCUCUAUAUUGACACAAAGCUUUGUCUUGAUAAUUCAUUGGAGUGUUGAGAAAAUGGAACACAGAAGUCUCAGAGUUGGUGCAGCCCAUUUUGGAAGCACCUGGAGGCUCCACAUCCAUUCCAGGGAAAAUGAAUUACGCUGCAGGUUCUGAAGAAGAUCAUGACUUUAGCAGGAACCACUCUCACUAGGGCCCUUUGGUCAGGAUCAGCCAAAGGAAGAAAAAGGAGGAGAGAAGAGAUGCUUUUCAGUUAUCAUAGGAUUUUAAUUACUCCAAGAAUAGGUCUUGAGUUGAUGAUGGGAAGGAGUUGGGUGAGAAAUUUUACGAAGUUAUAAUACAUUUUUAUGAUCACUCACCUUGUCAGCUCCUGUCUGCUUGACAAGGACAUUAUCCCCUCAGUUAAAUAAGAAAUAAAAUGAGGAAAUUACCUGAAGCAAUGGGCUGAUAUGUUACAGAAGUGUGGGGAGUAACAUUAAAAUGCAUUUGUAACUGGCCACCUCCAUGGCUCCAAGUGGAAGCUGAUGCAGGCCUUCUCAGUCCCAGGGCUUUUGUGAGAGUUGGUCCCUCAUGACCACACUUGGCAACCCAGGCCUGAGACCCUGGGGACCCCACCCGGGAAAAAUUCCUUUUAAAGAGUCACAGCCUCUCUAACAUGGACAGUCUAGCAACAAUCACCUCUGGGCACAGGGUCAGAUGCAUUCACAUCUGUGACAGGAGUAUGGAGGAGUCCAGCACCAAAGGGGGUGUAAGUUGGCAACUGUCACCACAAUAAUCUAACUAUUACUCUGCUUCUGUCCCCUCCUGAAUAACUUCUUUUUUUAUUGAAGUAGAGUUGAUUUCCAAUGUUGUGUGUCAGGUGUGCAGAAAAGUGAUUCAGUUAUAACCCUGCAUGUGUAUAUCUAUUCUUUUCCAGAUUCUUUUCCACUAUAGGUUCUUAAAAGAUGCUGAUAUGUUGUAUAUUU
This 2497-nucleotide long non-coding RNA is filed under the name Sus scrofa (pig). RNAcentral's name for it is "lncRNA (ENSSSCG00040054116.1)". The record is from RNAcentral. Lineage: Eukaryota; Metazoa; Chordata; Mammalia; Artiodactyla; Suidae.